This is a long non-coding RNA of Brienomyrus brachyistius, 661 nucleotides long. RefSeq lists it as uncharacterized. NCBI's taxonomy places the organism in Eukaryota, Metazoa, Chordata, Actinopteri, Osteoglossiformes, Mormyridae. The record is from RefSeq and is a predicted model, not a curated record. The transcript has 2 exons.
GCUCCACAGGGCUUCAUGAACAAGUGAUGCAAGUGACGCGGAACAAGAGUGGCAUGGACCGUGGAUUCUACCCCACUUAUUACCUGCACCUGGACAAUGAAAAGAAGGCCUUCCUGCUGGCUGGCCGCAAUUGCAAGAAGGGCACGACCUCGAACUACCUGAUCUCCACUGACGCCACAGACCUGUCGCGGGAUGGAGAGAAUGACAUUGGGAAGUUAAGUUAAAGAAUUUGGCGUGCACGCAUCACAGAGAAGAGGAUUCAGCUACACACGUGCCGAAGAGAGGGAUUCAGAUACACACCUCCUGCAGAGUAACAUUUGAGUACACACGUCCAGGAGAGAGCAAUUCAGGUACAUGCAUCCUGGAGAGAUGGAUUCAGGUACAAGCUUCUCAGAGAGAGAACUACAGGUACAAGCUUCGCAGUGAGUGGGAUUCGGGUACAUGCUCUCACCUGCCUAACUACAGAGACAUAAUGCACAGUACGUUCCAUUUAUCUCCCUGACACACGCAUGGGGGCUGGUCUAGGCCAGUGUCCCACAGAGGCUGGCUGUAUCUUAAAGGGCUUACGGGACCAAUCCCAUAGGCACCUUUUCAGAUGCUAAUUCCCUUGUCGCCGUGCCACAGCGGCAGAGAAUCUUUUGAAUUAAAUUAACAUGAAAAA